CCGGGCAAUGGAAAUGACCUGGUCUAAGGGUGUAGGGCUGCCGGUAGGUAAAUCCGCCGGCUGUAUGCCUGAGACCUGAUGGGCGCCCACAUGGUGGGUG
This 100-nucleotide ribosomal RNA is filed under the name Micrococcus luteus. RNAcentral's name for it is "partial ribosomal RNA". The record is from RNAcentral. Lineage: Bacteria; Bacillati; Actinomycetota; Actinomycetes; Micrococcales; Micrococcaceae.